Saccostrea cuccullata (small rock oyster) is the source of this 406-nucleotide long non-coding RNA. RefSeq lists it as uncharacterized. The record is from RefSeq and is a predicted model, not a curated record. The transcript is spliced from 2 exons. NCBI's taxonomy places the organism in Eukaryota, Metazoa, Mollusca, Bivalvia, Ostreida, Ostreidae.
CCUCUAGUGCCCUCUUUAACAGACAACCAGACUGGGUUAUUUACCAUGAACUUGUGCUGACAACAAAAGAAUACAUGAGAGAGGUGACAGCCAUUGAUCCCAAGUGGCUCGUGGAGUUCGCACCCAAAUUUUUCCGCUUCAGUGACCCAACAAAACUCAGCAAGCAGAAAAAAAAGCAGAAGAUUGAGCCAUCCUGUACAACAAGUACAAGGAUGCAAACUCCUGGAGAAUCUCAAGAGCUUUCAAGAAAGUGCACACAAAAGUUACUUUCUAGAUUUUUAUGUCAACUUUCUGUUUCUUAUGGGAUUCUUUGUUGCUUGGGGAAAAGUGCUUGUCUUGUACAAUCUUUAGAUGUGAAUUGUGAUUUUUUUAAUGUCUCAAAAUUAAAAAUUAACAACUUUUAAAA